UCUUGUCUCUGGGUCUGUCUCUUUACUGGCCUACUGGAGUCUCAAACACAGUGACUCUCCCUACACAUGGGACAAGCCUGCAGCACCAUCCCUGCCUUUACUUCCUAUUAAGUUCAUGAUUUUGGAGGAAAGAGAUACUUAUUUACCCCAUUCCCACCCCUGACUACUGUGCUCUUAAAAAUCCUGGGAGUACUGUAAUUGGCCCAGUACCUUACAUGGACUGAAGUAAGGGGGCUGGACUACUUCUGAUUGAUGCUACAAUGGCCAUGCCUAGUUCUCAUCCACUGGGAUUAACUGGAAGGAGACAUAAUUAUGGGAAUUAAAGAGAUCUACUGUUUAUUGAGCUUGUCCUUCAACACCAGAAAUGUGUUCUGAAGCACAGGACAGGCAGACAGUGAGUAAAGAAGACAUUUUGAGACACAGACUACAAGUGAUUUUGAUGGUUGUGAGUCUUAGAUGCAUAUACUGCGAUAUGAAACUCUACCCUUAACUCCCCUGCGUCUCAGUUUCCUGAUGUGGAGAGCGGGCAGUGCACCUCUAAGGCUGUGUUAGUUUGCCUAAAGCUUCACGGCUGACCUCACGCUCCUUCGUCACCCCAGCCUUCAUGUGCAGUUCCAUCCUCGACUUCUCAGGAGGAUACUGUGCUCAUCUGGACUCCUGAAAGUGAAAGGUCCAGAACCUUCAGGAAGAAUUCCCACACUGCAGCUUAACACAUUCCUUUCAUUCUGGCUUUAAAAAGUGCCGAAAGGAAGGCCUGGAUUUCCAUCUCCUCUAAUUCAUUUGCAUUAUGCAAUUUAGUGAUCAACCUUUUGUGAUUGGAAUUUCAAAUAAUUUUAAAUCUUGCCGUUUGUGACUUGAGACCUGCCUGGCAUCAAGACAGAACAUCCCAGUGCUUCUGUCUAGACCAGGAUUAGAGGUCAAAAUCUGAAGAAUUGUUUCCACUGGCUGUGUGAUGCCUUUGCACUAUCAUGACUUUUCAAAAGCUUCAACUCAAACCAUGCGUACGUUGGAGAACAUUGGAGGACCAUCUGAGCCGCUAAGGCCGCUACCCACAAUGCCUCUCUGUCUAUGGAACUGAACGCUCAAGUUAUCUGCUCCAGACAUACAGUGUUGAGGUACCUUAUAAUAAUGGGCACAUGAUGUCUCUGCUGACACCUGGGAAUGCUACACUGUUUGGGUGGGACAUGUGUGAGUGGGACAUGACACUGAUGAACACCCUGAGAGUUGUUGGACAGUGGGGGACAUUAGGUACCAAGACACAGAGUCAGAGCAGACACUUGGAGAGGAAUAUAUGACAGGCAGGAAAAAACAACAAGCCUGAAAACAGCCAACCCAUGUUCUCACUGUAUUUGAGCUAAACCUACCAUGGAGGUUUCAGAGAGGAAGACAUCUGAGCCAUGGGUCAUUAAUACAACCCAGGAAAACCAACUAGAAACAAUCAAUCCAACAUUGAGGGUCAAAAAUAUUGUCAUCAAGGUGCAUAAAUGAGCCAAGGACCACAUCUGUUCAGAAAUGAGUGAUUGACCCUUGAUGAAGUGUUUCCUCGUGCCUUCUGCCACAGUGAGAACUAGCCCCUGAAGUGAGGCUCUUCAGGUGAUGGGAGCGUCAAAGCAGGUUGUGCUAUACUGUGUUUUCUGCUGCAGAAGCCCAUUUAGGGUUUUCUCUUUCGCUACCUAAUGAGAUGUUUUAGACUAAUUACAGGCUUCCCACAACUUUUUGAAAGACAGGAGCAGUGUUCAAAAAACAAAUUAUGGUGAGGAUGUCAUGCCAGGAAGAAAGAAAUAAGACGCCACCUGGUCCCCAAAACUUGGUAUGAAAAAAAAAAUAGAGACCAAAAUACACUUCAUCCCAUUGGUGAAGGAAGUCUCUCCUAAGUAAAUGCUAGACUAGGAUAGUUUCAAAAACACAUACCUUACAGGAAAACCUGACUGCUCAAAGACUAGUUGGCUGCCAGCCACCAUGCGCUAUAUUUGAAUUGAAAUUUCCAAUGAAAUCCCUUCUAAAACUCGUGUAAGAACUUCUGCGUUGGUUGUGAACUUUCACUACCCAGUGGAGCCACUACCCUGAGGCCUGUUGAGUCUGUGGAUUAUUUAUAGGCUGGUCCAUAAUUUGCAUCAUAUUUGCAUAUUGUAAAUAUUUGCACACGUGGGUGUUUUGCCUGCCUAUAUAUCUGUGCACCACUUGCAUGCCUGAUACCCAAGGAAGCCAAAAGAGACUGUCAUAACCCCUGGAACUGGAGCCACAGAUGGUUGUGAGCCACCAUUUGGGUGCUGGGAAUCCAACCUGAGUCCUAUGGAAGAAUAGUCAGUGCUUCUAACUGCUGAGCCACCCUCCAGCCCCAUCAACAUCAUGGCUGUUUGAUAUAAUACUCUUAUCUGAUAUAUUUGAAAACAGUGUGUGUAAUCCUAUUUCUCUCUAAAUCUUUGCGGUAAAAGAGAAAUUGAUGCUAUCUGUUCUAACUUCCUGGUUUUUUCAUUACUCUUCAAAGAGAAAUAGGGAAAGGACAAAAAGGAAGAGGAACUGCUAACACUCAAGGUAAACUUACAGCCAAAGAGACCACCUCAGCAUAUAUCUGUAAUUUGCUAGGAAGACUCCAUGUGCAGGCUUCCACAAUCAAUUGUUUGGGUUCUUUAAUUGAAUGCAUGUGUCCAAAGAUAAAGUGUUUGGGUUCAGAGGGCAGGGGAUUCAUUAGAAGAAGUUCCUAAUAAAAGUGAUUCAAUCUU
Peromyscus eremicus (cactus mouse) is the source of this 2723-nucleotide long non-coding RNA. RefSeq lists it as uncharacterized. The record is from RefSeq and is a predicted model, not a curated record. Lineage: Eukaryota; Metazoa; Chordata; Mammalia; Rodentia; Cricetidae. The transcript has 5 exons.